GAGUUUGAUCGUGGCUCAGAUUGAACGCUGGCGGCAUGCCUUACACAUGCAAGUCGAACGGCAGCACGGGAGCUUGCUCCUGGUGGCGAGUGGCGAACGGGUGAGUAAUGCAUCGGAACGUAUCCUGGAGUGGGGGGAUAACGUAGCGAAAGUUACGCUAAUACCGCAUAUUCUGUGAGCAGGAAAGCGGGGGACCUUCGGGCCUCGCGCUCUUGGAGCGGCCGAUGUCGGAUUAGCUAGUUGGUGAGGUAAAGGCUCACCAAGGCGACGAUCCGUAGCAGGUCUGAGAGGAUGAUCUGCCACACUGGAACUGAGACACGGUCCAGACUCCUACGGGAGGCAGCAGUGGGAAUUUUGGACAAUGGGGGCAACCCUGAUCCAGCCAUGCCGCGUGAGU
Molecule: ribosomal RNA, 397 nt
Filed under: bacterium enrichment culture clone ALO1_GLFRUDD03FZWKX
Lineage: Bacteria
Description: bacterial SSU rRNA
Rfam family: Bacterial small subunit ribosomal RNA
Source: RNAcentral